UACGUAGGGUGCGAGCGUUAAUCGGAAUUACUGGGCGUAAAGCGUGUGCAGGCGGUGAUGUAAGUCAGAUGUGAAAUCCCCGGGCUCAACCUGGGAACUGCAUUUGUGACUGCCUCGCUGGAGUGCGGCAGAGGGGGAUGGAAUUCCGCGUGUAGCAGUGAAAUGCGUAGAUAUGCGGAGGAACACCGAUGGCGAAGGCAAUCCCCUGGGCCUGCACUGACGCUCAUGCACGAAAGCGUGGGGAGCAAACAGG
This 253-nucleotide ribosomal RNA is filed under the name uncultured bacterium. RNAcentral describes it as "partial 16S ribosomal RNA". It matches the Rfam family "Bacterial small subunit ribosomal RNA", at positions 524 to 776 of the family's 1533-position model. The record is from RNAcentral.